CCUACGGGGGGCUGCAGUGGGGAAUAUUGGACAAUGGGGGCAACCCUGAUCCAGCCAUGCCGCGUGUGUGAAGAAGGCCCUCGGGUUGUAAAGCACUUUCAGUGAGGAAGAACGCCUGGUGGUUAAUACCCAUCAGGAAAGACAUCACUCACAGAAGAAGCACCGGCUAACUCCGUGCCAGCAGCCGCGGUAAUACGGAGGGUGCGAGCGUUAAUCGGAAUUACUGGGCGUAAAGCGCGCGUAGAUGGCUUGAUAAGCCGGUUGUGAAAGCCCCGGGCUCAACCUGGGAACGGCAUCUGGAACUGUCAAGCUAGAGUGCAGGAGAGGAAGGUAGAAUUCCCGGUGUAGCGGUGAAAUGCGUAGAGAUCGGGAGGAAUACCAGUGGCGAAGGCGGCCUUCUGGACUGACACUGACACUGAGGUGCGAAAGCGUGGGUAGCAAACAGGAUUAGAUACCCGAGUAGUC
This 465-nucleotide ribosomal RNA is filed under the name Vreelandella stevensii. RNAcentral's name for it is "partial 16S ribosomal RNA". It matches the Rfam family "Bacterial small subunit ribosomal RNA", at positions 338 to 795 of the family's 1533-position model. Lineage: Bacteria; Pseudomonadati; Pseudomonadota; Gammaproteobacteria; Oceanospirillales; Halomonadaceae. The record is from RNAcentral.